Molecule: long non-coding RNA, 231 nt
Filed under: Elaeis guineensis (African oil palm)
Lineage: Eukaryota; Viridiplantae; Streptophyta; Magnoliopsida; Arecales; Arecaceae
Description: long non-coding RNA (EGUI_LNC008661)
Source: RNAcentral
AAAUCUUUCAAAAAAAAUUAAUAGUGGCUAAAUACCUUAAAUCAGCUAAGUAAUCUAAACUUUGACUUAAUAUACCCUACUAUCUCCAACAAAUAUACGAAAGAUCAAGUAAUCUAAUUCAAAGAUGGUAAUAUAAACUAUUAAAGACACUACCAAAAAGUAUAUACCAUGCUCUCACAGCAAAAUCCAAUCAAUCAAUAGAAGCAAAAAAUAAUAUAUAUACACACACAC